This 495-nucleotide ribosomal RNA is filed under the name uncultured bacterium. RNAcentral describes it as "bacterial SSU rRNA". It matches the Rfam family "Bacterial small subunit ribosomal RNA", at positions 29 to 516 of the family's 1533-position model. The record is from RNAcentral.
AUUGAACGCUGGCGGCAUGCCUUACACAUGCAAGUCGAACGGCAGCAUGGGUGCUUGCACCUGAUGGCGAGUGGCGAACGGGUGAGUAAUGCAUCGGAACGUACCCGGAAGUGGGGGAUAACGUAGCGAAAGUUACGCUAAUACCGCAUAUUCUGUGAGCAGGAAAGCGGGGGAUCGCAAGACCUCGCGCUUCCGGAGCGGCCGAUGUCGGAUUAGCUAGUUGGCGGGGUAAAGGCCCACCAAGGCAACGAUCCGUAGCGGGUCUGAGAGGAUGAUCCGCCACACUGGGACUGAGACACGGCCCAGACUCCUACGGGAGGCAGCAGUGGGGAAUUUUGGACAAUGGGGGCAACCCUGAUCCAGCCAUGCCGCGUGAGUGAAGAAGGCCUUCGGGUUGUAAAGCUCUUUCGGCUGGGAAGAAAUCGCAUCUCCUAAUACGGGGUGGUGGAGUGACGGUACCAGGCAUAAGAAGCACCGGGCCUAACUAACGUCGCC